AAUUUCCUACGGGGGGCAGCAGUGGGGGAUAUUGCACAAUGGGGGGAACCCUGAUGCAGCGACGCCGCGUGGGUGAAGGAGCGUUUCGGCGCGUAAAGCCCUAUCGGCAGGGAAGAAGAUGACGGUACCUGACCAAGAAGCCCCGGCUAACUACGUGCCAGCAGCCGCGGUAAUACGUAGGGGGCAAGCGUUAUCCGGAUUUACUGGGGGUAAAGGGGGCGCAGACGGCAAUGCAAGCCAGGAGUGAAAGCCCGGGGCCCAACCCCGGGACUGCGCUGGUAACUGCAUGGCUGGAGUA
Molecule: ribosomal RNA, 298 nt
Filed under: uncultured bacterium
Lineage: Bacteria
Description: partial 16S ribosomal RNA
Rfam family: Bacterial small subunit ribosomal RNA
Source: RNAcentral